RNAcentral lists this ribosomal RNA (434 nucleotides) under uncultured bacterium. RNAcentral describes it as "partial 16S ribosomal RNA". It matches the Rfam family "Bacterial small subunit ribosomal RNA", at positions 29 to 507 of the family's 1533-position model. The record is from RNAcentral.
AGCGAACGCUGGCGGCAGGCCUAACACAUGCAAGUCGAACGAACCUUUCGGGGUUAGUGGCGGACGGGUGAGUAACACGUGGGAACGUGCCUUUAGGUUCAGAAUAACUCAGGGAAACUUGUGCUAAUACCGAAUGUGCCCUUCGGGGGAAAGAUUUAUCGCCUUUAGAGCGGCCCGCGUCUGAUUAGCUAGUUGGUUGAGGUAAUGGCUCACCAAGGCGACGAUCAGUAGCUGGUCUGAGAGGAUGAUCCGCCACAUUGGGACUGAGACGCGGCACAAACUCCUACGGGAGGCAGCAGUGGGGAAUCUUGCGCAAUGGGCGAAAGCCUGACGCAGCCAUGCCGCGUGAAUGAUGAAGGUCUUAGGAUUGUAAAAUUCUUUCACCGGGGACGAUAAUGACGGUACCCGGAGAAGAAGCCCCGGCUAACUUCGUG